Molecule: ribosomal RNA, 497 nt
Filed under: uncultured bacterium
Lineage: Bacteria
Description: partial 16S ribosomal RNA
Rfam family: Bacterial small subunit ribosomal RNA
Source: RNAcentral
GAUGAACGCUGGCGGCGUGCCUAAUACAUGCAAGUCGAGCGAACAGACGAGGAGCUUGCUCCCCUGACGUUAGCGGCGGACGGGUGAGUAACACGUGGAUAACCUACCUCUAAGACUGGGAUAACUUCGGGAAACCGGAGCCACUACCGCAUAAUAUAUCGUACCGCAUGGUUCAAUGGAGCAAGACGGCUUUCCCGACUCUAUUAGCUGGUUUCGGGCCGUAUUAGCUAGUUGGUAAGGUAACGGCUAACCAAGGAAACGAUGCGUAGCUGACCUGAGAGGGUGAUCAGCCACACUGGAACUGAGACACGGUCCAGACUCCUACGGGAGGCAGCAGUGGGGAAUCUUCGGCAAUGGGCGAAAGCCUGACGGGGCAACGCCGCGUGGGUGAUGAAGGUCUUCGGGUCGUAAAGCUCUGUUAUUGGGAAAGAACAAAUGUGUGAGUAACCAUGCACGUCUUGACGGUACCUAAUCAAAAAGCCACGGCUAACUACGUG